GGAAUUGUGCCUGAAAUAAAGGGCCACUUUGAUAGAGUGGAUCAUGAAGGUUAAAACCCCUCCAAUUCCU
Molecule: transfer RNA, 70 nt
Filed under: Chaetodontoplus poliourus (greytail angelfish)
Lineage: Eukaryota; Metazoa; Chordata; Actinopteri; Pomacanthidae
Description: tRNA-Ile
Rfam family: tRNA
About the family: Transfer RNA (tRNA) molecules are approximately 80 nucleotides in length. Their secondary structure includes four short double-helical elements and three loops (D, anti-codon, and T loops).
Source: RNAcentral